ACGCUGCAGUUUGGAGAAUGAAUUGGGAGGUUGUACGCAAUGUGGUGGGAGAGAAUAAACUCAGGUGGCUGUCCAGGUUAGAGAGGAAAGAACCCAGGCCAGGAGGGUCUCCUGAAGACUGAGAGAGGUACAAGAAGGAGUGUUACUUGGAAGCUGAACCAAACAGGCUAUCAAAUCACACACGGAGAUCUUUGAAGGAGGGUUAAAAAAUCACAUGCUCAGAACUAUAUGUUUUUUAAGCUUUUAGAGUUCAAAUCUGUAUGACCUCGUGUUUGAGGAUCUGUGAAGAAAUGUGUUCACACCUGCCAAUUCUGUCAUUUAUGCUCUCAUUCUAGGAACCCAUUUAUCAGGCAACUUCAAUAGAAUGUUCUUGCAACCA
Molecule: long non-coding RNA, 379 nt
Organism: Puma concolor (puma)
Lineage: Eukaryota; Metazoa; Chordata; Mammalia; Carnivora; Felidae
Source: RefSeq, a predicted model, not a curated record